RNAcentral lists this transfer RNA (73 nucleotides) under Trichonephila inaurata madagascariensis. It matches the Rfam family "tRNA". Rfam says of the family: Transfer RNA (tRNA) molecules are approximately 80 nucleotides in length. The record is from Rfam by way of RNAcentral. Lineage: Eukaryota; Metazoa; Arthropoda; Arachnida; Araneae; Nephilidae.
AUCCCUGUAGCGCAAUGGAUAGCACGUUGGACUUCUAAUCCAAAGAUCGUGGGUUCAAAUCCUACCUGGGAUG